UGGCGGCGUGCCUAAACAUGCAAGUCGAACGAGAAAGCGGGGGCAACUCCGUGAGUAAAGUGGCGACCGGGUGAGUAACACGUGACUAACCUACCCUUAGAGUGGGGGAUAACCUCGGGAAACCGGGGCUAAUACCGCAUAACAUCGCGAGGUGAAAUUCUUUGUGAUCAAAGGAGCAAUUCGCUCAAGGAGGGGGUCGCGGCUGAUUAGCUAGUUGGUGAGGUAACGGCUCACCAAGGCGAUGAUCAGUAGCCGGCCUGAGAGGGCGCACGGCCACACUGGAACUGAAACACGGUCCAGACUCCUACGGGAGGCAGCAGUGGGGAAUUUUGCGCAAUGGGGGAAACCCUGACGCAGCAACGCCGCGUGGAGGAUGAAGUCCCUUGGGAUGUAAACUCCUUUCGAUCGGGACGAUAAUGACGGUACCGGAAGAAGAAGCACCGGCUAACUCUGUGCCAGCAGCCGCGGUAAUACAGAGGGUGCAAGCGUUGUUCGGAAUUAUUGGGCGUAAAGGGCGCUAUGCGGUGCGGUAAGUUUGUGGUGAAAUCU
RNAcentral lists this ribosomal RNA (549 nucleotides) under uncultured bacterium. RNAcentral describes it as "bacterial SSU rRNA". It matches the Rfam family "Bacterial small subunit ribosomal RNA", at positions 37 to 602 of the family's 1533-position model. The record is from RNAcentral.